CUGAUUUCUGCACUGCAUUCGUUAAAGCUGGAAAAACACAGGGAAGACUUGCAUAACCCCAGUGUAAGAACGGCUGCUAACGCAUGAAGUGUUCCAUAUUCUA
Cavia aperea (Brazilian guinea pig) is the source of this 103-nucleotide small nuclear RNA. Lineage: Eukaryota; Metazoa; Chordata; Mammalia; Rodentia; Caviidae. The record is from Ensembl.